CCUAUGCCUAAGCCUAAGCCUAUGCCUAAGGCCCUUAGACUGAGUCCAUAAGCCUAA
RNAcentral lists this small RNA (57 nucleotides) under Caenorhabditis elegans. RNAcentral's name for it is "Unclassified non-coding RNA Y110A2AL.16". Lineage: Eukaryota; Metazoa; Nematoda; Chromadorea; Rhabditida; Rhabditidae. The record is from RNAcentral.